AUUGAACGCUGGCGGCAUGCCUUACACAUGCAAGUCGAACGGCAGCACGGGAGCAAUCCUGGUGGCGAGUGGCGAACGGGUGAGUAAUGUAUCGGAACGUACCUUCAGUGGGGAUAACGUAGCGAAAGUUACGCUAAUACCGCAUAUUCUGUGAGCAGGAAAGCAGGGGAUCGCAAGACCUUGCGCUGAUUGAGCGGCCGAUAUCAGAUUAGCUAGUUGGUGAGGUAAAGGCUCACCAAGGCGACGAUCUGUAGCGGGUCUGAGAGGAUGAUCCGCCACACUGGAACUGAGACACGGUCCAGACUCCUACGGGAGGCAGCAGUGGGGAAUUUUGGACAAUGGGUGCAAGCCUGAUCCAGCCAUGCCGCGUGAGUGAAGAAGGCCUUCGGGUUGUAAAGCUCUUUCAGCCGGGAAGAAAACGCAUGGGUUAAUACCCUGUGUGGAUGACGGUACCGGAAUAAGAAGCACCGGCUAACUACGUG
Molecule: ribosomal RNA, 482 nt
Filed under: uncultured bacterium
Lineage: Bacteria
Description: bacterial SSU rRNA
Rfam family: Bacterial small subunit ribosomal RNA
Source: RNAcentral